RNAcentral lists this ribosomal RNA (492 nucleotides) under uncultured bacterium. RNAcentral describes it as "bacterial SSU rRNA". It matches the Rfam family "Bacterial small subunit ribosomal RNA", at positions 17 to 518 of the family's 1533-position model. The record is from RNAcentral.
UUAUGGCUCAGGAUGAACGCUGGCGGCGCACAUAAGACAUGCAAGUCGAACGAACUUAAUCGAAAGUUACUUUGAAGCGGUUAGUGGCGGACUGGUGAGUAACACGUAAGCAACCUGCCUAUCAGAGGGGAAUAACAGUGAGAAAUCAUUGCUAAUACCGCAUAUGCUCACAGUACCACAUGGUACAGUGAGGAAAGGAGCAAUCCGCUGAUAGAUGGGCUUGCGUCUGAUUAGAUAGUUGGUGGGGUAACGGCCUACCAAGUCGACGAUCAGUAGCCGGACUGAGAGGUUGAACGGCCACAUUGGGACUGAGAUACGGCCCAGACUCCUACGGGAGGCAGCAGUCGGGAAUAUUGCGCAAUGGAGGAAACUCUGACGCCAGUGACGCCGCGUGCAGGAAGAAGGUUUUCGGAUUGUAAACUGCUUUAGUUAAGGAAGAUACAAGACAGUACUUAAAGAAUAAGCACCGGCUAACUAUGUGCCAGCAGCGGC